UUUGCAUGGACGCAGUCUGACCAGCGACGCCGCGUGCGGGAUGAAGGCCUUCGGGUUGUAAACCGCUUUCAGCAGGGAAGAAGCGAAAGUGACGGUACCUGCAAAAGAAGCACCGGCUAACUAUGUGCCAGCAGCCGCGGUAAUACAUAGGGUGCAAGCGUUGUCCGGAAUUAUUGGGCGUAAAGAGCUCGUAGGUUGUUCGUUACGUCGGAUGUGAAAAUCUGAGGCUUAACCUCAGACCUGCAUUCGAUACGGGCGAACUAGAGUGUGGUAGGGGAGACUGGAAUUCCUGGUGUAGCGGUGGAAUGCGCAGAUAUCAGGAGGAACACCAAUGGCGAAGGCAGGUCUCUGGGCCAUUACUGACACUGAGGAGCGAAAGUCUGGGGAGCGAACAGGAUUAGAUACCCUGGUAGUCCAGACCGUAAACGGUGGGCGCUAGUUGUGGGAACCUUCCACGGUUUCUGCGACGCAGCUAACGCAUUAAGCGCCCCGCCUGGGGAGUACGAUCGCAAGAUUAAAACUCAAAGGAAUUGACGGGGCCCCGCACAAGCAGCGGAGCAUGCGGCUUAAUUCGACGCAACGCGAAGAACCUUACCAAGGCUUGACAUAUANGGGAAAGCAAUAGAGAUAUUGUGUCCGCAAGGGCUCUAUACAGGUGGUGCAUGG
This 666-nucleotide ribosomal RNA is filed under the name uncultured bacterium. RNAcentral's name for it is "bacterial SSU rRNA". It matches the Rfam family "Bacterial small subunit ribosomal RNA", at positions 363 to 1048 of the family's 1533-position model. The record is from RNAcentral.